AUGGACAUCUUCAACGAGUUCUAUGUUGGGUCCAUCGACCUUGGGCGCCUCAACUAUGGGAUCAUUUCGCUCAUCCCCAAGGUGCAUGGGGCUUCCAACAUCCGCUAGUUUCGUCCGAUCACGGUCAUCAAUGUGAUUUUCCGGAUUCUGGCGAAAGGGUACGCCAAUAGGGUGACCCUGCUUGUCGACCACAUUACCCACCCCAACCAGUCCGCCUUCAUUCAAGGGCGGUAUAUCCUGGAUGGGGCUAGUCUUCAUGAAGUACUCCAUGAGGUCCGGUCUAAGCACCUCAGGGCGGUUUUCCUGAAGAUCGAUUUCCAUAAGGCGUACGACACUGUUAGUUGGUCCUUCCUUCGGGAAGUUUUGCUUCAAAAAGGCUUUGACGAUUGA
RNAcentral lists this ribosomal RNA (390 nucleotides) under Triticum aestivum (bread wheat). RNAcentral's name for it is "partial small subunit ribosomal RNA". The record is from RNAcentral. Lineage: Eukaryota; Viridiplantae; Streptophyta; Magnoliopsida; Poales; Poaceae.